CAGUCUUAAAAGCAGCAAAAUGAAAUAAACAAAGAGACAGGCCACCGAAACGGUGCCUUGAAAAAGCAAAACUGGAAAUAAAGUUGUGCCUAAGAAACCUGAAACGCCAAAAAUAAAAUGAAAAGAAAAAAAUCUUAAGUAACCCUUCUUCUUCUUUCUUCUACUUUAACUGAAGAUAAAACCUGUGUAUCAACCAUGCAAGAGACCUCUUUUCUUCCAAGACUAUACCUUCCUAAGUCCUCAGUCUCUUCUUACUCGCGAGUUCUUCGAGCGCACUAUCACCUCAAGCCCGGACUCAACCUUCCUAUCUAACCAUUAUGACAACCAUUUCUCCUUUCUUGAUUUACCAGAAUCUCCACUGCAUUCGGCGCCUCCUCAAUCUAAAUUCGAGGAUGCUCGUAAUGCCCUCCGUCCUUCGCCAUCGCAUGAGUCGCUCUGUUGGCCGCCCUCGCUCUCAGUUUGCGAAUUAUGGUUAGUGCAUCUCCUUCAAUGCAUACAUCCAGGAAACCCAUGUCUUCAGCCAAAGUAACAGCUUGCAGACACGCCCUAGCCUCGGCCAUCACUGGAUCUUGGAUAUUUUUCCAUGGGUAAGAACAUGCUGCUAUUAUAAGGCCUUCUUUAUUACGUGCUAUGAUUCCUGAGAUAGAACAAUUUGUUAUAUGAUUAAAUGAAGCGUCAAAAUUGAUUUUAAUGGUGUCAUUGUCUAAAUUUUCACCAUCUCAUGAAUUCUUUAAUCUCUCCCUCGUACAACUGUAUAGUAUGCCUUAAUAAACCCCACAACUUCUGCUACUGACUCUCGUACACCAUCAUGGUAAAUUUUGUUGCGAUUAUACCAAAUUGCCCAAUAUGUGAUAGCUCUAAUUUUACAUUCUUCAAUGCUCAGAUUUUCAAAUUCUUUUGCUAACCAAUUCUUCCAACUGGUCUCUCUAUUGCAUGUUGUAACUACCACUCCCAAACCCCUCAAGACCUGUUGUGUGAAGAAACAACCUCUAAAGAGGUGAUCCACCGAUUCCUCUUCAGUUUGACAUACCGGGCAUACAGUGUUGACAACCAAGUAACGGGCUUUUAGGUUAUGUAAAGUAGGUAGAUAGUCAUUAGCAAUUCUCCAUAUUAGGAUACAUAUUUUACUUGGGAUCUUGAUCUCCCAAAACUUUGUAAAGAAAGUAGUAGAAGUUUCAUUAUUUAUCCUUGUACCCCCUUCUAGAAUAAGCCAUCUGUAGCCGCUCUUUGCUGUGUAUACCCCAGUGUUGUCACCACAUCAUACUGGAACAUCUUGUAUCCUAUUGCUCACCAAGGGGAUUGAAACUAUGUGCCGCAAUUGCUCCUCUCCGAACAGUGUGCGAAUAAUCUCUUGUUUCCAGAUCCCGGCAGCCAUUUAUCAUUCCAGAUGUUAACUGAAUCCCCAUUACCGAUUCAUCAUUCCAUUCCUUCUUCGAGAAGGUAUCUAGCUCCCAAAAUGCUGCGCCAGGUAAACGAAGGGCCCGUCUUUGGGGUCGUAUGGAGGUGUGGUCACUCAAGAAUCAAGGUUGAAAGGGAUCCAAAAUAUUAUUUUUUAAUUUUUAAGGGACCCAAAAAAAACUUUAACUUUAAAAGUCCAAAAAAGAAUUUUUACCAACUUUUAAGGGGCAAAACAAAUUUUAGCUUUUAAUGGCCCAAAAUUUUUUUUUACCAACUUUUAAGUUUUAAGGGACUCAAAAAAAAUUUUUCUCCAACUUUUAAAGAAUCUAAGACCCCAUUUUAUUGUUUUGCUUAGGGCCCUAAAAAUGUCAAGAACAUGCAUGUUUGUUCUUCUAUAAUGUUCUUUCUUAAUUGUUCUUCUUUUAUUAAGUUCAGAAUUUUUUAUUCAAAUAAUAUAAAAAAUAAAAAAUUACAAAAAUGAAGCAAGUAAAAAUUAUUUAUGAAAAUAGACAUUUUCAACAGUUCUAGUCGGUGCUGCUUGAUACACAGGCGGUACCACUCCACUUUCUUCCCCAAUCAUGAGGUCAUCAUCAGUUUAAAAAAAAGAAUUUUUUUUUGUGCUGCCACUUUGUCAGGCGGCACCGGUAUAUAUUUUUGAAAAAAUACCUGAAGAAAUACGGGUAUACCAUGUUACAAAAAAAUUAAUAUUAUCGCUGAUGUGUCAAGCAACACUAAUGAGAUUUAAAUAUUAUUUGACAGCCACGGAUUCUCUUGCUUUUUUGCUUUCCAACCUUUUUUUCACUUAUUUAUUUUUCCUUUUCAAGCAUUUUUUUAUUACUUAGUAUAUAAAGAGGGGUUUGGUCCCCUACCCCAUCUACAACCUGUUGGGAGAAAAAAAAAGGUUUGAGUUUUUUUAGGUUUUUUUGUGUUUAGUAUAAAAGUUUGGAAGAAAGUUAAUUUGUGUUG
Gossypium raimondii (Peruvian cotton) is the source of this 2364-nucleotide long non-coding RNA. RefSeq lists it as uncharacterized. NCBI's taxonomy places the organism in Eukaryota, Viridiplantae, Streptophyta, Magnoliopsida, Malvales, Malvaceae. The transcript is spliced from 4 exons. The record is from RefSeq and is a predicted model, not a curated record.